Syngnathoides biaculeatus (alligator pipefish) is the source of this 4110-nucleotide long non-coding RNA. RefSeq lists it as uncharacterized. The transcript has 3 exons. The record is from RefSeq and is a predicted model, not a curated record. Lineage: Eukaryota; Metazoa; Chordata; Actinopteri; Syngnathiformes; Syngnathidae.
GUCUUCUUCUUUGGCUAUCCUGCCAGAAGACACACGUCUCGUGUUUGGCAGAUACCUAGAUAAGACCCGGACGUCUGUAUUGCACAUUCCUUUGUAAUAAAUCCAUUUGCUGUUAACUUUUUCUAAUCAUUGGUCAUAUCUUCCUCGACUCGUGAACACGCAUAGGGUCCAAACUCGCAAAUCCCUACAAUUUAGUGACCCCGACCGGAAGUCAAGGGAGGUAGACGAGCGUUGGCCGUCGACAGAUGAGAUAAAGAGAGACAUAUGAGAAACAUAGGAGUGUUAUACGGACAAGUCGAGGGUGCUCGUCUGUACUUCUGACUUCUCCAGGUCGCGAGCAAAACCAAAAGGUGAGCAGAAGCCUGUUUACUGUCGAAUUCUGCAUAUUGAACUGCCUAAAUUUGAGAAGUCAUUGGUAUCAGAUUGUUCAUGCCUCAUGUGAGUUGAGAAUAAGAGAUAAAGAAAUUAAAAGAUAAAGAGAAUACAACAAUAAGAGAUAAAGAGAAUAAGAGAUAAAGAGAGUAAGAGAUAAAGAGAAGUUGUAUAUCCCAUUGUAGCUGACGUAUAUUGUAGACGUACAAUUGCACUGUGAGGUUUACCUGUUACACCUAAGGGGGAUGGGAUCCCUUAAAAACAAAGGAUUUCCCGUUGGUUUGAGCCUGUGAUGUCACAAGGUGGCGUACGAAAAAAUUGAAUAGUAUCGGGGAAUUUGUUGCACGAUAGGAAUUUGGUUGGGUUUAGUCGAAGAAGAGCGACCACUAAAUUAAAUAAAUAAUCAUGACUGGUGAAUUUGAUUAUGAAUGUGCUGAAUAUAAUACAACUAAAAUGAAAUGUGCAUUGAAAUUGAGUGGCAAAUGAUGUCUAAUGAUGACAAAAAGAAACGAGAUAAAGAAAGGAAGCACGCAUUAAAAUAAUGGCAAAAGCACAAUUUGGGUAAAAUUCGCAAUUAGGACAAACUGGCAACCGUAAACCCUAACCAGCAAAAAUGAGGAAGGAGACACGUCGAACACGCACACAUGCACGUGCCCUGAAUCACACGUAAGUACACUACGCGCGCACACACACACGCACACAUACCACACACACACACAGACACAGAGGAAGCGAGGGCGCUGCAGGGGGGGAUUGGUGAAAACGGUCUUGUUGAUUUGACGCAAAGUGUCCUCUCGCAGGUGUAAAUAACACGACGAGUAUUAUAUUAUUAUUAUUAUAUAUUGUAUUAUGGCAGCACGGUGGAGCAGCUGGUAAAGCGUUGGCCUCACAGUUCCCGGGUUCAAUCCCGGACCUGCCUGUGUGGAGUUUGCAUGUUCUCCCUGUGCAUGCAUGGGUUUCCUCCCACAUUCCAAAAAUACGUAACAUUAGUUGGACCCUCAAGGUUGCUCCGAGGUGUGAUUGUGAGUGUGACUGUUGUCUGUCUCUAUGUGCCCUGUGAUUGGCUGGCAACCUUUUUCAGGGUGUACCCCGCCUCCUGCCCGUUGACAGUUGGGAUUGGCUCCAGCACUCUCCACAACCCUCAUGAGGAUAAGUGGUAAAGAAAAUGGAUGCACAUUAUAUGAUAUUAUUAUAUUAAAAACAAGCAAACAAAAUGCUACAAGGUUGAAAACUCUUUUUUUCAUGCUUUUUAUAUAUCCACUUUUUGAUCAUAUGACUUGCACCGUAUCCGUUUUUUUUUAAAUUGUGUUUGUCAUAUUUAUUGUUUUCCCCCCUUUUAAAUGUUUUAUCUCUUUAUUUUCAAAUGCCUCUAAUCGUGUAAAGCACAUUGAAUUACCGCGUGUAUGCAAUCCACUUUGCUUUGCUUUGCUUUGCUUUACAAUGAUGCCUAUGACAGAGGCUCCAGCAGGUCCAACGUACAAGCUGUUUGAUCUUAAAGAUGCUGAUUGUCUUGCUCGUUUGUCUUGUAUCUCUUCUGGUGGUAAUGCAUGGCUGUCUAGUUUUGUGGAAACUUUACAGGGAUAUACACUCUGCAUGGGAGACUAGAGACAAGUAGCAUCUCGUUCAUGCACUAGUAUUGAACAACAAGAAUUUGAGACAACUGCAGGUAUGCUUAACAUACCCAAUGGAACCAUAUUGAGAGCACACUUUGAGCGUCUGGCCGCAGGUAUCAGAGAGAGGUUCCCCACUCCUGUUUCAGCCCCACCCACUUAUUUCCCCUAUGUUAAACGACCCACUUGAGCACUUGACUAAGUUAACUAAACUUUGGACUGAAUCGACUGGACGUCGCCCUGGACAGUCUGGUUAGGAGAAGGUUAUGUUCAGGACUGGGAUCGAGGCAGGUCUCCCUGAUCCAGUACAGACCACUCUUAAAGCUGACCCUGACCUCCUGCCCGUAGAUGAGCCUAGAUUUAGACGACACUUAGUGCAUCACCUCAAAAUUUAUUCAAGCCAACAACAGGGUGAGGAUAAUGAAAUUACUAAACUCACAAAACAACUUCUUAAAUUACAAGUAGUACAGGCAAGACGUAAAGGUCCAAAACCACACCAGAUGUAAUUUUUUUGGCAGGCACAAUCACCUAGACUGGCAGGUGGGUUCUGGGGUAAUAGCCAGCUUGGAUACACAGGAAGGCGUGAAGGGAGCAGGGGAGAAUGCAACAACAUCAACCUGAUCAAGGAUGCUUUGGUUGUGGUUCUCCCAAAAAAACUGGAUUAAAGACUGUUUUACAGCUCCUCCACCUCAAGGUCCAAUGCAAGGGCGUUGUGGCUGGUCCAACAACCGAGGGGGGCCAAGCAGAGGCAGAAACGACAGCUUUGGCGGCCCACCCCGGCAGCAGGAUGGACACCAGAAGGUUGAUCAGUACCACUAGGGGUCUCCGAGAAGCCGGUGGUCCGGCGAUGCAGGUGCCAUGAUCCCCAUUUCUGUUGCGGGGCAAAAAGUGAACACUCUCGUUGAGACAGGGGCAACACAUUCCUCACUCAACAUCUCGCUCCUGUACACUUUAUUUUCACAACACAAUGUGCAAUUGAUGGGCUUCUCAGGGACUCAACAGGCCCUUCAAUGGACUCAACCCCGACCGACAAACUUGGCUGGACAGACCUUCCAGCAUUCGUUUAUAAUGCCGGCAGCUGACACCGUCUGCCACUCUGGACAAUGGCUUAUGACACCUGAGAGUGAACCAACACCAACUGUGGACAAGUAUUGGGCCCGACUUGAACCAGAAACACCGCUCAAACCUGGUCUCAUACAUCAAUUUCUGUUGUGGAAGCCGUGGUUAAACACUCUUAGGGCUUACCUGCCUUCACUACAUCCAUACCAUUGCACACUAUAUUACGACCGCAACCACAAUCUAGUAUACAUGGAAAACUUUGCAUGCAUACAAGGUGAUGCUUGGGACAUUACAUCCACACAUAUAUAUGCAGCAAGAGAGUGUGGAGCGACAUCCUGCUCUCUUACACCAGACGAAUGACAUGGUUCAAACUGCAGGAAGAGUCAGUACCCCACAUUUCACUCGCACUGUCUCCAGGACACGAGGCCCGGCAGCUCGGACCUAUGGUGAAACAACUGACCCAAAUGACCGACUGGGAGGACACACCACUCCCUAACAUACAGAUCUCCAAAUCUACAGAUGCAUAUUGCUUCAUUGUUCCUGACGCACCUUCAACAAUUAAUAUCACCAUAUUAGAACACGAGACCCUAACUAGAGAACACGGACGUGAUUACUCUGACCAUGAUGACACCGAGUCAAGGUUAAAUGAACUGCCUAAGUUAGUUUGGUCUUCUGGACUCUUUGAUGUUGGACAUUGUACUAAGACACUAGACAUUAACAUUAAUGUUUUUCCAGGAUUUCAUGUUUACAGACCUCAAUAUCCUUGGCCCGCAGCUGCUAACGAGGGGAUGGAGGACAGUCUCACUGGAAUUCUUGAGUCUUGGAAACAACCACCUCCUCGAUCCAGGACACUCUUCCAACACCACCACCUGGACUUCAUCUUCCUGAGUGGUCAUCCGUCUCCCUUAAACAAGAAAACCACCUGGCGGCAUCCUCCACUCCCAGGCGUUGCCAUGGAGAUGAACGACACCUGAUAAGGAGCAGAAAGUUACCAUCCCGGCCUAGGACCAGACUGCGAGGGGGGCAGCCACUUUUACCAUGGACCCAUACAUAUGAAAACCUUGUGUUA